This is a long non-coding RNA of Solanum pennellii, 699 nucleotides long. RefSeq lists it as uncharacterized. The record is from RefSeq and is a predicted model, not a curated record. NCBI's taxonomy places the organism in Eukaryota, Viridiplantae, Streptophyta, Magnoliopsida, Solanales, Solanaceae. The transcript is spliced from 2 exons.
UCUGUAACCUACUAACCUCAUCAUUAAUUUUUCGUGUUGGAUGAAAUUUUUAUUUUCUAUAAAUUUAGGCCCAUUCAUUGUUUUAUACAUCUGUAGAACAUUUCAAAUCCUGUUUGUUUUCUUGCAAUAUGGAUGGAUCCUCUAUUCCAAGAAUAAGGACUAGACAACAAUUUUUAAAAUACUGUGUGAAUUUUAUUGAAAAGAGGAACAAGUCCACUCAAAAUGUAAGGAAAAAACCUAAGUUGGAAGAAAAGAAUACAAAAAUGGGUAAAAUGAAGAAGGUGGUAAGUGGUAAGUCGACUGAAAAUAGUAGUCACUCUUGUACUGAUGUGAGUUGUGGGUUGAAAGGAAAAAAGACAUGUUCUGGGAGAGGUGAAAAGGCAAAAAUGGGAAAAAAGGUGGAGAGUAGUAAGAAGAAGUUCACUUGUAAGUCCAUCCACGAAACAUCUAAUCCUUCGCCUGAUGAUGUUGAGAAAUUGGAACAUGAUACAAUUGAAUCUGACGACGACGAUUAAUAAUAAGUUGGAAAAAUAGGGCGAAGAAGGAGAUUCAGUUUUGUCUUUGUUUUUUUGGCUCUACAAAAAUGAAUUAUGGAUCAACUCGGAUUAAUUAAUAUUUGGGCUCUUGUACUAUUUUCAUUUUCAUCACUUCGAUAUUGUAAUAUCGGUUUUAAUAUAUUCACCUACUUCUCUAUUUUCU